RNAcentral lists this ribosomal RNA (498 nucleotides) under uncultured bacterium. Its description in RNAcentral is "partial 16S ribosomal RNA". It matches the Rfam family "Bacterial small subunit ribosomal RNA", at positions 28 to 508 of the family's 1533-position model. The record is from RNAcentral.
GAUGAACGCUGGCGGCGUGCCUAAUACAUGCAAGUCGAGCGAACGGACGAGAAGCUUGCUUUUCUGAUGUUAGCGGCGGACGGGUGAGUAACACGUGGAUAACCUACCUAUAAGACUGGGAUAACUUCGGGAAACCGGAGCUAAUACCGGAUAAUAUUUUGAACCGCAUGGUUCAUAAGUGAAAGACGGUCUUGCUGUCACUUAUAGAUGGAUCCGCGCUGCAUUAGCUAGUUGGUAAGGUAACGGCUUACCAAGGCAACGAUGCAUAGCCGACCUGAGAGGGUGAUCGGCCAAACUGGAACUGAGACACGGUCCAGACUCCUACGGGAGGCAGCAGUAGGGAAUCUUCCGCAAUGGGCGAAAGCCUGACGGAGCAACGCCGCGUGAGCGAUGAAGGUCUUCGGAUCGUAAAACUCUGUUAUUAGGGAAGAACAUAUGUGUAAGUAACUGUGCACAUCUUGACGGUACCUAAUCAGAAAGCCACGGCUAACUACGUGC